This 713-nucleotide long non-coding RNA is filed under the name Rattus norvegicus (Norway rat). RNAcentral describes it as "long non-coding RNA NONRATT004503". Lineage: Eukaryota; Metazoa; Chordata; Mammalia; Rodentia; Muridae. The record is from RNAcentral.
CGGAAACGGCUUCAACGGAACAGACUUACCAAAGAGCAACUGAAACAGAUUCCUACUCAUGAUUAUCAAAAAGGUAAGGGCAGGGUUGGGGAUUUUAGCUCAGUGGUAAGUGCAAGGCCCUGGGUUCAGUCCCCAGCUCCGAAAAAAAAGAGAAAAAAAAGGGUAAGGGCACUGGAAUGGGACCCUUUCUCCUGGCUGCCCUCGCCUUGAAGGAUUUUUGAGCCCAGUAAGUAGACCAAGGGUUCAAAGAGCCAGAAAGAUGCCCCCUUUGGUUGUUUCUUACCAACAACUAACCACAAGCAAAGGAGCUAGGGUAGGACGGGCUAGAAAGCAAAGAUGAACAAAGGAAAUUUCUGGCCUUGUGUAUGGGGGUGUAGAGUAAGAUGUAAAGAGCUGAAAGAACUCAGAGCAGGUGAGGGCUUGGGUUUUCUAGACUUGUAGCCUCUAGGACCAUAUAAGGUUAUAGCAAAAGCCUUGCCCCUCCCAGUUCUGCUUCCCCACCCCCACAACCCACUUCCCUUAUCUCUGCUUGUCCCCUCUAGCCCCAAGGUUUUAUGUGCCCUAAGUUUGCACUGGCAUAAAAAACUGGGGAAAUAAGCCUUGUGUAGUGAGCUUUCUUAGGUUUGAUUCCCAGCAGCUCAAAAUCCUUUCCCUUUCCCAGGAGAUGAGUAUGAUGUCUGUGCCAUCUGUCUGGAUGAGUAUGAGGACGGGGA